Ktedonobacter racemifer DSM 44963 is the source of this 92-nucleotide non-coding RNA. Lineage: Bacteria; Bacillati; Chloroflexota; Ktedonobacteria; Ktedonobacterales; Ktedonobacteraceae. The record is from Rfam.
GAGAGCCGUGUGCAUCGAAAGGUGCAAGCACUGGUUCGGGGAGGGGUGGCAGGAAAAGGUCCAAAAGGAACCUCGCUUACCGCCUACUCUAC